This 198-nucleotide ribosomal RNA is filed under the name uncultured bacterium. Its description in RNAcentral is "partial 16S ribosomal RNA". It matches the Rfam family "Bacterial small subunit ribosomal RNA", at positions 335 to 524 of the family's 1533-position model. The record is from RNAcentral.
ACUCCUACGGGAGGCAGCAGUAGGGAAUUUUGGGCAAUGGGCGAAAGCCCGACCCAGCAACGCCGCGUGUGGGAUGAAGGCCCUCGGGUCGUAAACCACUGUCAGGAGGAAAGAAAAGUCGGCCGGAUAAUACUCGGUCGACCUGACGGUACCUCCAAAGGAAGCACCGGCUAACUCCGUGCCAGCAGCCGCGGUAAU